This 83-nucleotide small RNA is filed under the name Leeuwenhoekiella palythoae. RNAcentral's name for it is "Flavo-1 RNA". It matches the Rfam family "Flavo-1 RNA". Lineage: Bacteria; Pseudomonadati; Bacteroidota; Flavobacteriia; Flavobacteriales; Flavobacteriaceae. The record is from RNAcentral.
UCUUUGCGUGAGGGAUAGUAGCGGCAUCCUUUUUUACGGCUCGUAAAGCCGUAAAAAAGAUAUAGCGUAUAGCCCGACCCUUG